UUCGGGGUGAGCGGCGGACGGGUUAGUAACGCGUGGGAAUAUACCCUUUGGUACGGAAUAGCCUCUGGAAACGGAGAGUAAUACCGUAUGAGCCCUUCGGGGGAAAGAUUUAUCGCCAAAGGAUUAGCCCGCGUUAGAUUAGGUAGUUGGUGGGGUAAUGGCCUACCAAGCCUACGAUCUAUAGCUGGUUUUAGAGGAUGAUCAGCAACACUGGGACUGAGACACGGCCCAGACUCCUACGGGAGGCAGCAGUGGGGAAUCUUGGACAAUGGGCGCAAGCCUGAUCCAGCCAUGCCGCGUGAGUGAUGAAGGCCUUAGGGUCGUAAAGCUCUUUCGCCUGUGAAGAUAAUGACGGUAGCAGGUAAAGAAACCCCGGCUAACUCCGUGCCAGCAGCCGCGGUAAUACGGAGGGGGUUAGCGUUGUUCGGAAUUACUGGGCGUAAAGCGCACGUAGGCGGACUGGAAAGUAUGGGGUGAAAUCCCAGGGCUCAACCCUGGAACUGCCUCAUAAACUAUCAGUCUAGAGUUCGAGAGAGGUGAGUGGAAUUCCGAGUGUAGAGGUGAAAUUCGUAGAUAUUCGGAGGAACACCAGUGGCGAAGGCGGCUCACUGGCUCGAUACUGACGCUGAGGUGCGAAAGUGUGGGGAGCAAACAGGAUUAGAUACCCUGGUAGUCCACACCGUAAACGAUGAAUGCUAGUCGUCGGGUAGCAUGCUAUUCG
Molecule: ribosomal RNA, 721 nt
Filed under: alpha proteobacterium U16
Lineage: Bacteria; Pseudomonadati; Pseudomonadota; Alphaproteobacteria
Description: bacterial SSU rRNA
Rfam family: Bacterial small subunit ribosomal RNA
Source: RNAcentral